GAUGAACGCUAGCGGCGCGCUUAAUGCAUGCAAGUCGAGCGAUGAGGCCCUUCGGGGUACAUCAGCGGCAGACGGGUGAGUAACACGUGGGUGACCUGCCCCCAAGACGGGAAUAACGAAUGGAAACAUUUGCUAAAGCCCGAUAGUCUCAGAGAGUCACAUCUUUGAGUAAAACUCCGGUGCUUGGGGAGGGGCCUGCGGCCCAUCAGCUAGUUGGUAGGGUAAUGGCCUACCAAGGCGAAGACGGGUAGGGGGUGUGAGAGCACGGCCCCCCACAAUGGGACUGAGACACGGCCCAUACUCCUACGGGAGGCAGCAGCAGGGAAUAUUGCGCAAUGGACGCAAGUCUGACGCAGCGACGCCGCGUGAGUGAUGAAGGCCUUCGGGUUGUAAAACUCUUUUCGGGGGGAAGAGCGAGGACGGUACCCUCG
RNAcentral lists this ribosomal RNA (431 nucleotides) under uncultured bacterium. Its description in RNAcentral is "bacterial SSU rRNA". It matches the Rfam family "Bacterial small subunit ribosomal RNA", at positions 28 to 483 of the family's 1533-position model. The record is from RNAcentral.